CAUACGUAUAUGUCCUCUUCCAGGUUCUCUUUUGUUACACAUUUUUACAAAACAAUGACUUUAAUUCCCUGUGCUAUACAAAGGGGCCUUGUUGUUUAUCUGUGUUAUAUACAAUAGUGUGUAUCUGUUCAUCCAAGCUCCUAAUUUAUCCCUCUCAUAUUUCCCCUUUGGUAACCAUAAGAUUGUUUUCUAUGUCUGUGAGUCUAUUUCUAUCUUGUAAAUGAGUUUGUUUGUAUCAUUUUUUUUUUUUUAGAUUUCACAUUUAAGUUAUAUCAUAUGAUUUUUGUCUUUAACUUACUUCCUUAGUAUGGUAAUCUCUAGGUGCAGCCAUGUUGCUGGAAAUGACAGUAUUUCACUGUAUUUUAUGGCUGAGUAGCAUAUACAAUGGUACAUCUAUCUAAACAUGUGUAUAUAUUUAUUCAUUCGUUGAUGGAUAUUUUCAUUGCUUCCAUGUCUUGGCAAUUGUAAAUAAUGCUCCUACACUGUUGGUGGGAAUGUAAAUUGAUGCAGCCGUAGUGGGGAGCAGUAUGGAAGGUUCUUUAAUGGGAAUUUGCUGUGUGGCUCAGGAAACUCAAACAGGGGCUCUGUAUCAACCUAGAGGGGUGGGAUGGGGAGGGAGAUGGGGGGAGUUCCACAAGGGAGGGGAUAUAUGUAUACCAAUGGCUAAUUCAUGUUGAGAUUUGACAGAAAACAGCAAAAUUCUGUAAAGCAAUUACCCUUCAAUAAAAAAUAAAUUAAUUUAAAAAAUAGAGUUAUCAUAUGAUCCAGCAAUCCUACUCCUGGACAUAUAUCCAGAAAGGAUGAAAACUCUAAUUACAGUAAAAAAUACAUACACCCUAAUGUUCAUAGGAAUCCAGGAACCUUGAUUGGCCUGUUCAUAGCUUCCUUUGCACCCUAGAUUCCACAUGUGUCCAAGAUGGAGAGUGUGAGGCUGAGUUUCCACCUGACGGCUUUGAAGAGAAACCAGAGAAAGAAAAGAAACAAACCAAUUUCACUUUGUGCAGUGUGUGUAACAUUCAGCUGAAUUCAACUGCUCAAGCCCAAAUCCACUACAAUGGCAAAUCACAUCAAAAGAGAUUAAAACAGCUCAGCACCGGGCUGGUGAAAAACGACACUGAAAUUCAGGAUAGCAGAUUCCCAUCACCCAUCAAAACCGUAAUGUCUGGAGUUGGACUGUUGAAAUCUCAACACUAGACCUGCAACCCUUUGUUGGAUCGUGUGCAAGUUAUUCAGCCUAAUUGAUGCUUUUCAACUGUGGUGCUGGAGAAAGCUCUUGAGAGUCCCUUGGACUGCAAGGAGAUCCAACCAGUCCAUUCUGGAGGAGAUCAGUCCUG
This 1334-nucleotide long non-coding RNA is filed under the name Bos indicus x Bos taurus (hybrid cattle). Its description in RNAcentral is "lncRNA (ENSBIXG00000001175.1)". Lineage: Eukaryota; Metazoa; Chordata; Mammalia; Artiodactyla; Bovidae. The record is from RNAcentral.